This 425-nucleotide ribosomal RNA is filed under the name uncultured bacterium. RNAcentral's name for it is "partial 16S ribosomal RNA". It matches the Rfam family "Bacterial small subunit ribosomal RNA", at positions 354 to 796 of the family's 1533-position model. The record is from RNAcentral.
GUGGGGAAUAUUGCACAAUGGGGGAAACCCUGAUGCAGCGACGCCGCGUGAAGGAUGAAGUAUUUCGGUAUGUAAACUUCUAUCAGCAGGGAAGAAGAUGACGGUACCUGACUAAGAAGCCCCGGCUAACUACGUGCCAGCAGCCGCGGUAAUACGUAGGGGGCAAGCGUUAUCCGGAUUUACUGGGUGUAAAGGGAGCGUAGACGGCGAUGCAAGCCAGAUGUGAAAGCCCGGGGCUCAACCCCGGGACUGCAUUUGGAACUGCGUGGCUGGAGUGUCGGAGAGGCAGGCGGAAUUCCUAGUGUAGCGGUGAAAUGCGUAGAUAUUAGGAGGAACACCAGUGGCGAAGGCGGCCUGCUGGACGAUGACUGACGUUGAGGCUCGAAAGCGUGGGGAGCAAACAGGAUUAGAAACCCUUGUAGUCC